Agelaius phoeniceus (red-winged blackbird) is the source of this 633-nucleotide long non-coding RNA. RefSeq lists it as uncharacterized. The record is from RefSeq and is a predicted model, not a curated record. NCBI's taxonomy places the organism in Eukaryota, Metazoa, Chordata, Aves, Passeriformes, Icteridae.
CAGUGACUCCAGCUCUUCAUACAGAGCAAAGCCAUCCUCAGCACAUCCCUUUAUAUCUUUUUGGGAUGGAGAGCAGACAUUUUAAGCACAGCACUCCAGACACAGUUAUACCGUGGAUUUACCAUGGACCUGGAAAUCCAGGAUCUCCUCGUGGACCUACAGAGAAUUACAGAAACAUGGUAUGACCACAUAAUUAAAAUCUGGGCUGAAGAAGCUGGUCUAGCAUUCUCCUAACUUUGGAAUUCUAAUCCAUUAUGUCAACAGAACAACUGGCAACAACACAGAUUUUUUGCUACCAGGCAACACUCAAUAGCUGAGCUCCAGGAGGUCCAACUAACAGUGGUGACCCAGCUGGCCCAGGCAGUCCAAUGUCGCCCUGUGGAAGCCAAAGCAACAGCAGAGAUGUUCCAUGCAGCAUUUCAGUGACACUGAGCUUGUUUUCCUGUUGUACCAUAGCACUAUAUAUUUCUGUACUCACUGAAAAUGUAUUAAUUACCUGCAGAUAAAGGUGGUCUUGGGAAAAGGGGUUAAGGAGAGAGCACUAGGAGCAUUUCUCCAUGACCACAGACUGCCAGGAUGAAAUAUGUUCACACAGACAUGGGAAGGAACAGCAUAUUCCUCAACUUCCAAACU